GGAGAGGUGCCGGAGUGGUCGAACGGGGCGGUCUCGAAAACCGUUGAUCGCGCAAGCGAUCCGUGGGUUCGAAUCCCACCCUCUCCGCCA
RNAcentral lists this transfer RNA (90 nucleotides) under Acidobacteriota bacterium. RNAcentral's name for it is "Acidobacteria bacterium tRNA-Ser". It matches the Rfam family "tRNA". Rfam says of the family: Transfer RNA (tRNA) molecules are approximately 80 nucleotides in length. Their secondary structure includes four short double-helical elements and three loops (D, anti-codon, and T loops). Lineage: Bacteria; Pseudomonadati; Acidobacteriota. The record is from RNAcentral.